Molecule: ribosomal RNA, 1386 nt
Filed under: uncultured bacterium
Lineage: Bacteria
Description: bacterial SSU rRNA
Rfam family: Bacterial small subunit ribosomal RNA
Source: RNAcentral
UGCUUAACACAUGCAAGUCGAGCGCAGGCAUCCGCAAGGAUGUGCUGAGCGGCGGACGGGUGAGUAACACAUAAAUAACUUACCUCAAGGUCUGGGAUAACUUUGGGAAACUGGAGGUAAUACCGGAUAAGACUACAGUGUUCAUGGACACAAGAGUAAAAGAUGGCUGGGCAACCAGCUAUCACCUAGAGAUGGGUUUAUGUCCCACCAGGUAGUUGGUGAGGUAAUGGCUCACCAAGCCUAAGACGGGUAGCCGGCCUUAGCGGGUGGUCGGCCACACGGGAACUGAGACACGGUCCCGACUCCUACGGGAGGCAGCAGUGGGGAAUAUUGGGCAAUGGGCGAAAGCCUGACCCAGCGACGCCGCGUGAGGGAUGAAGGCCUUCGGGUUGUAAACCUCUGUCGGAAGGGACGAUGGGUCUCUGAGCUAAUACCUCAGAAUUUGACGGUACCUUAGUAGGAAGCCCCGGCUAACUCCGUGCCAGCAGCCGCGGUAAUACGGAGGGGGCAAGCGUUGCUCGGAUUUACUGGGCGUAAAGGGUCCGUAGGCGGCUUCGUAAGUUAGAUGUGAAAGCUUAGGGCUUAACCCCUGAAAUUGCAUCUAAAACUGCGGAGCUAGAGUCUAGGAGAGGUCGGCGGGAAUUCCCGGUGUAGCGGUGAAAUGCGUAGAUAUCGGGAGGAACACCAGUGGCGAAGGCGGCCGACUGGUCUAGUACUGACGCUGAGGGACGAAAGCGUGGGUAGCAAACCGGAUUAGAUACCCGGGUAGUCCACGCCCUAAACGAUGGAUGCUAGGUGUGGGGGUGCAAAUCUCCGCGCCGCAGCUAACGCAAUAAGCAUCCCGCCUGGGGAGUAUGGUCGCAAGACUGAAACUCAAAGGAAUUGGCGGGGGCCCGCACAAGCGGUGGAGCAUGUGGUUUAAUUCGAUGUUAAGCGAAGAACCUUACCAGGGUUUGACAUGUUAGUUAUACCUGCGUGAAAGCGUAGGGUGUGUGGAGCUUGCUUCACACGGCUAGCACAGGUGCUGCAUGGCUGUCGUCAGCUCGUGCCGUGAGGUGUCCGGUUAAGUCCGGUAACGAGCGCAACCCUUAUUGCUAGUUGCCAUCACCUCGGGUGGGCACUCUAGAGAGACUGCCGGCGACAAGCUGGAGGAAGGCGAGGACGACGUCAAGUCAUCAUGGCCUUUAUAUCCUGGGCUACACACAUGCUACAAUGGCGGAUACAAUGGGUCGCAAACUCGCGAGGGGAAGCUAAUCCCAUCAAAGUCCGUCUAAGUUCGGAUUGCAGGCUGCAACUCGCCUGCAUGAAGCUGGAAUCGCUAGUAAUCGUGGAUCAGCUACGCCACCGUGAAUACGUUCCCGGGCCUUGCACACACUGCCCGUCACA